RNAcentral lists this small nuclear RNA (106 nucleotides) under Mustela putorius furo (domestic ferret). Lineage: Eukaryota; Metazoa; Chordata; Mammalia; Carnivora; Mustelidae. The record is from RNAcentral.
GUGCUCACUUCAGCAGCAUGUAUACUAAAAUUGGAAUGAUGUGGGGAAGAGAGGCGUGACCCCGCGCAAGGAUGUCAUGCAAAUCCACGAAGCAGUCCAUAUUUCU